This 208-nucleotide long non-coding RNA is filed under the name Elaeis guineensis (African oil palm). Its description in RNAcentral is "long non-coding RNA (EGUI_LNC079831)". The record is from RNAcentral. Lineage: Eukaryota; Viridiplantae; Streptophyta; Magnoliopsida; Arecales; Arecaceae.
AUUGGAGAUCCACUUACACUUUAUGAGUUUUACUUUUUCGAGUAGAUCAAUGAGUAUCCAUACACUGUUAACCUUCAUGGACUCCAUUUCGGACUUUAUGGCUCCAAACCAUUAAUCGAAGUCGGACCUUUGCAUGACAAUCAUGUAAGUGAUCAGAUGCUUAUUGUUCUCAUCGAGUUCAACAGGAUCACAUCUCGUAUCAAGAUAC